UGCGUGUCUCCUACGGGCCAGGCACUCUUCCAGGUGCCAGUUAUUGUCGCCUGCAGAAGGAGUGGAUUGGAGAAGCUCUGGAGUAGAAGUAGGGAGACCAAUUAGUUGAGGAAUAACAUCACGUCAAAUUGCCUACCACCUGAACAAUUCCCAAGGCCUCUGACUAAUGAUGAACAGAGACAAUGAUGUGAUGCAUGAACCACUUUGUGUAUCUGACAUGGAGAAAAAAGCGUUUCCUUCGCACAAGAGAACAAGAGGACAUAAGACUCAGAAGCACUCAAGAAUCUACAAAGCAGGGAGAUUCCUGAAGAAAAAAAAAGGUGGGGGGGAGGGCAUGUGAGAAUUAGACUGGAUGAAUAUCCACAAAAAUGUGAAGUGUGAUCUCUGGGAAAUGAGGUUAUUAGUAAUUUGUAUGCCUUUUUUUCAUCAUUUGAAAUGUGUUUUUCCAAUGAGAAGGUAUACUUUUUUUUUUUUUAAUCAGAAAGAAAUGCUGUAUUCAUUUGGAAUAUAAAUGGAUAUAAUCUAACCCAAACAAAAUAUUUUAUUUAGACUUAUUACUUAAGGGUAAGAAGACAGACAAAAUAGCCUUUCCUGGUGCUGUAUUUUAAUUAUUCAAAUUGCAGUAUUUUUAAGUAAGGUUAUCUCAUUUUAUCUACUAAGAUAGCAGCACCUGUAAAAUAUAAUUCACUACAUUAUUUGCUCAAGUAGAUAGUAUUAAAGUUACUUAUGGCUAUUGCCAUGCAUAGUGAACAAAAUACAUCCAACAUCAGAAGUAGUAAUUCAUCACUUCUCAAGUAAUAUUAAGCUCUGCUAAUAUUGUCAUUUCAUAGCUUUCUUUAAUGGUAUUUUUCUACAUAUUCGUUUUGAAUACAUCCAUGUGUACCAUGAAACUAUCAAGGAAGAAAGGUUGUUAACAAUUCCACAGGUCCAGUUUACUUGAUGCCCUAGGGACAUGCUGCCUUUUAGGUGGAAACUCAGAAUUACUAUAGCAAAUGUACCUUAGGAAAUAGCUGGAAACAGCACUAAUUUUGUUUUCCCAUCACCCCCAAAAAGGCUAAUAAAGACCAUCAUGAUAUGGAGGCAUUUUCUCAAAACUCCCACUCUCUACCAUUCUUUUUUCAUAUUUAUGAUCUUUUUCUUCUCCUUGGCCUGAAAAUAAAACUUUAGUCUGUAUCCCCCACCUUCCAUUUUUCCUGUUAUUUCAUUUUACAGUUUGAAAUUUUGUUAGGCACAGAAUCAAAACCUUUGUGAAUUAAAGAAGUGUAUACAGCAAUAAAACCUAAAACUCAAUUUGCACCUUUAAAUAAGCACUUGAGAUGUUUUUAUCAGUAACAAUAAAUAAGGUUUUGUUUUCUACAUUUAAAGCGAGUAUCACGUUCUCAAUGUGAAAAGAAAGUUAUUUAAAAAAAAAAAAGCAAGAAGGUCAAUCUGUGACAUUUGCAAUACAUUCUAGACUCAGCAACAACUGAAGUAUCAACCUCGUCAUCUGCCCUGGUGUGAUCCGUUGUUCAACCCAGGAAUGGCAUUUGUCAUAGAGAAAAUCUAACUGUGUCCAACAGGCCAAGAUAUUAUGAAUAGUACACUAAGAGAAUUAUUACAAUGAUAUUAUUGUGAUAACAUCUUAUUCUUACAUUACUUAUAAAGUGCCAUGAUUAUUUCAUUUGGGACCGAUACGCAUUCAUGAGAUAGGCAAAAGUUAUGUUAUCCCCAUGUUAAAGAUAAGACAUUGGAGAGGAUGGAUAUGUUCAUAGCAUAGAUUGCAGUGAUAGUUUCAUGGAUACGUACUUAUCUCCAAAAUCACCCAGUGUAUACAUUAAAUACAUAUAAUUUUAUAUUUGUCAAUCAGGCCUCAGUCUGCCUCUUUUCUGAUUCAUGUACUUAGUGUUUCCAGAGAGAUGCAGACACAAGGAAAGUAGAAAAUACACAAAACUGGGCAAAUUGCAUACAUGCUGAAAUAAUUUUGAAAAUAAAAAACCAAGUGUUUCAUUAUUAUAGCUCUUUUUCUUGGGAGAAAAAACUUGUUACUGGUUUUCCUAUUAAACAACUAUUUGGUCUACUCUGA
Molecule: long non-coding RNA, 2062 nt
Organism: Leopardus geoffroyi (Geoffroy's cat)
Lineage: Eukaryota; Metazoa; Chordata; Mammalia; Carnivora; Felidae
Exons: 2
Source: RefSeq, a predicted model, not a curated record